Molecule: long non-coding RNA, 612 nt
Organism: Mustela lutreola (European mink)
Lineage: Eukaryota; Metazoa; Chordata; Mammalia; Carnivora; Mustelidae
Exons: 4
Source: RefSeq, a predicted model, not a curated record
GCGACCAGAGAGCUGAGGCAACCGUUAACUGCCCACUGCCGCGGUGUUCCUUUUCAGGCUCGUUGGGUACUGACAGCACACAACCCAUGAAACGUCCUAGUAUGCAGAUGAGGAUGUGACAGUGAGUUUGGAGUGAAUAGUUCUGGAGGCAAUAGAAGCGCCAGACAGAAACUCUCAGAGAAGCUGAAAGAAGCUAAAGCAUUUUAAAACCUAUCAAAUGGAUAUUACUUCUUAUCGUGGAAUGUUCUCAACUAUUACGGCACGAGAGAACCACGGUGCCCAUGUGGGUGUAAGACCAAAAAAAUAUGGCAGUGACAGAGCAUGGUGCCCCUCAGCAGCCUGUUUUCCGGUCUCCACAGCCACCUGCUGCCUCCCCAGGUCCCACUUAAGGAUUCUCAGGGCUACAGGAGUAAAAUUUGUUUUUUCCAACUUCCUUCCUCAUGUUGACUCCACAUGUCUCCUUGAAGGCCGUGGUAACUCACUCUCUGUAGUAGUAAUUCCUGUGAUACUCUUUACUCCUCUCUCAUAUAUAAAAUGGCAGUAUAAAAAUGGCUUGUACUGAGUGUACUGCCAUUUCCCAACUUAUUUGCAUGCUGAGAUAAAAACAUACUC